Molecule: ribosomal RNA, 485 nt
Filed under: uncultured bacterium
Lineage: Bacteria
Description: partial 16S ribosomal RNA
Rfam family: Bacterial small subunit ribosomal RNA
Source: RNAcentral
AUUGAACGCUGGCGGCAUGCCUUACACAUGCAAGUCGAACGGCAGCACGGGUGCUUGCACCUGGUGGCGAGUGGCGAACGGGUGAGUAAUACAUCGGAACAUGUCCUGUAGUGGGGGAUAGCCCGCCGAAAGCCGGAUUAAUACCCCAUACGAUCUACGAAGGAAAGGGGGGGCCCUUCGGGCCUCGCGUUAUAGGGUUGGCCGAUGGCUGAUUAGCUAGUUGGUGGGGUAAAGGCCUACCAAGGCGCCGCUCAGAAGCUGGUCUGAGAGGACGACCAGCCACACUGAGACUGAGACACGGCCCAGACUCCUACGGGAGGCAGCAGUGGGGAAUUUUGGACAAUGGGCGAAAGCCUGAUCCAGCAAUGCCGCGUGUGUGAAGAAGGCCUUCGGGUUGUAUAGCACUUUUGUCCGGAAAGAAAUCCUUGGCCCUAAUACGGUCGGGGGAUGACGGUACCGGAAGAAUAAGCACCGGCUAACUACGU